UCACUGGCUCACUGCUGAUCACUAUUUGGAAGACGCACCCCUGAUGAAGUCUAGUUCCUAGACGAAACGCGUUGGGUUACUGUAUUUCUUGUUGAUGUUAUCUCCGAAUAUUUAAUGAGGAAGAAUAAGGAUACAACAGAAAGGUUGCCUUCUUUCCUCCAUAUCCCAUUGAUGGAUUUCUAUAGGAGAAACUACAUCAUAAUGUACAUGUAAUAAUGAUGGAUAUACUUCAUGUUUCUGUAUAAUUGUUUUAAUAAAUUUUUAUGAAAAGUA
Molecule: long non-coding RNA, 273 nt
Organism: Pseudophryne corroboree (corroboree frog)
Lineage: Eukaryota; Metazoa; Chordata; Amphibia; Anura; Myobatrachidae
Exons: 2
Source: RefSeq, a predicted model, not a curated record